Molecule: ribosomal RNA, 492 nt
Filed under: uncultured bacterium
Lineage: Bacteria
Description: partial 16S ribosomal RNA
Rfam family: Bacterial small subunit ribosomal RNA
Source: RNAcentral
AGUGAACGCUGGCGGUAGGCCUAACACAUGCAAGUCGAACGGCAGCACAGUAAGAGCUUGCUCUUACGGGUGGCGAGUGGCGGACGGGUGAGGAAUACAUCGGAAUCUACUUUUUCGUGGGGGAUAACGUAGGGAAACUUACGCUAAUACCGCAUACGACCUACGGGUGAAAGCAGGGGAUCUUCGGACCUUGCGCGAUUGAAUGGGCCGAUGUCGGAUUAGCUAGUUGGCGGGGUAAAGGCCCACCAAGGCGACGAUCCGUAGGUGGUCUGAGAGGAUGAUCAGCCACACUGGAACUGAGACACGGUCCAGACUCCUACGGGAGGCAGCAGUGGGGAAUAUUGGACAAUGGGCGCAAGCCUGAUCCAGCCAUACCGCGUGGGUGAAGAAGGCCUUCGGGUUGUAAAGCCCUUUUGUUGGGAAAGAAAAGCAGCAGGUUAAUACCCCGCUGUUCUGACGGUACCCAAAGAAUAAGCACCGGCUAACUUCGUG